UACAGAGACUGCAAGCGUUAUUCGGAUUCACUGGGCGUAAAGGGUGCGCAGGCGGCCAAGUGUGUUAGGCGUGAAAGCCUGAGGCUUAACCUCAGAAUUGCACCUAAAACUACAUGGCUAGAGCAUUGGAGAGGGUAGCGGAAUUCACGGUGUAGCAGUGAAAUGCGUAGAUAUCGUGAGGAACACCAGAGGCGAAGGCGGCUACCUGGACAAUUGCUGACGCCCAGGCACGAAAGCGUGGGGAGCAAAAGGG
Molecule: ribosomal RNA, 253 nt
Filed under: uncultured bacterium
Lineage: Bacteria
Description: partial 16S ribosomal RNA
Rfam family: Bacterial small subunit ribosomal RNA
Source: RNAcentral